Molecule: ribosomal RNA, 116 nt
Organism: Sinocyclocheilus anshuiensis
Lineage: Eukaryota; Metazoa; Chordata; Actinopteri; Cypriniformes; Cyprinidae
Source: Ensembl
GCCAGCAGCUAUCACUCCGAACCUCUCACCUGGUUGAUCACUGAAGCUAAGCAGGGUUGAGCCUGUUCAGUACUUUGGAUGGGAGACCUCUUGGGAAAAGUAGGUUGCUGCUGGAA